This 21-nucleotide non-coding RNA is filed under the name Arabidopsis thaliana (thale cress). Lineage: Eukaryota; Viridiplantae; Streptophyta; Magnoliopsida; Brassicales; Brassicaceae. The record is from RNAcentral.
AACUCAGCGAAUGCCUCUGGG